RNAcentral lists this non-coding RNA (45 nucleotides) under Schistosoma mansoni. The record is from RNAcentral. Lineage: Eukaryota; Metazoa; Platyhelminthes; Trematoda; Strigeidida; Schistosomatidae.
AUCCUGCUGAUGAGUCCCAAAUAGGCCGAAACGCGCAUCCUGUAU